RNAcentral lists this ribosomal RNA (253 nucleotides) under uncultured bacterium. Its description in RNAcentral is "partial 16S ribosomal RNA". It matches the Rfam family "Bacterial small subunit ribosomal RNA", at positions 524 to 776 of the family's 1533-position model. The record is from RNAcentral.
UACGAAGGGUGCAAGCGUUACUCGGAAUUACUGGGCGUAAAGCGUGCGUAGGUGGUUCGUUAAGUCUGAUGAGAAAGCCCUGGGCUCAACCUGGGAAUGGCAUUGGAUACUGGCGACCUAGAGUGCGGUAGAGGGGUGUGGAAUUCCCGGUGUAGCAGUGAAAUGCGUAGAUAUCGGGAGGAACAUCUGUGGCGAAGGCGACACCCUGGACCAGCACUGACACUGAGGCACGAAAGCGUGGGGAGCAAACAGG